AUGGGAGACAGGGCAACAGGACACUGCCCGUUGUUGUUCAUGAUGUCAUCCAGGUCUUCAUCGUCCAAGUCCACUGAGGAGGAAAGGGUGAACGGAAUUAUUUGCACACUUCGUCGUGUACGGAGCAAACACUGCAUAUCGGCUGCUGCCAUCAUGUCCUGGAUCAUCGGUGUGACCCUCCUGCUCAUCAUUUUGGCCGACAGCACAGCUUUCUCUGAUGGAUCUUGUGUGACCAAAGAGCACAUCGGCAAGUGCAGAGUUUUUCCCAAUGGUGUGAUGAAGUGUCGCUCCCCGCUCUUGCCCAGAAACCGUGGAGAGAAAAUGGAUCUGAUCAAAUGCCUCUGCAGCAAAGCAAACCAGCGCAAGUUUCCAGAGUUUGAGGCCAUCUGCACAUCGUGGCAUCCUGGUCUUCCAAUAACCCCCGUGUAAAUGAGCGCAAGGACCCACAAUACAACGGCGCAGCAUAUCGCGCAAGAUCACGUCACCGUAUUCCCACAUCGUCGCAUGAUAUCAACCAUCGCACGAGAAGCAGCACAUCAAAUCACAUGGUCGCCUGGGAGACUCAAAAGGCUGCAUGGCACUGCAUCAUGUUUACACAUCACGUCGUCCUUGUAAUAUGCUAUAGAUGAAAGUAAAGACAUGUUUUCUGCAACAGUUUGUCUCAACUCCUUUUUUGGGUCUAGCCAAAGGUAAAACAAUCCAACCUCAAAGGUGAACUCUUGUUUGUUCAAUCACACAAAAGGGUUGGGGCGGGGGGGGGUGGGAAGCUGUUUCCCCGCCACCGGUCGCGAAGCCAAGUGAAGCUAACCGGCUGCUAGCUCCGGGUUCAUGUGCGUUGUUUCAAUCUGCCAAGUCCCUUCGAGCGACAACAAAAAAAGAAAAGUUAUUAUCUGCCAAAAUGUGCGACUGUUGCCUUACGUUUGCCCUCUGGGACCUAAGGUCUUUGUGAAAUAGUCAUCAACGUUGCAGGUCUUUGUUGUCAAGAAACCAAGUAAAGUGAAAGUUGUCUCUUUUGAGUCCUUUAGAAAUGCUCAUUGUUGUGACGGAGAAAAUAUGGGCCUGGGUUUUGUUGUUGUUGUUGUUGUUAAUUGUUUUACUUUUUUGAGUAUAGAAGAAACCUCUCUAUCUUCUACCUAGAAAGAAUGUCACUUCUUAUCCCUAUGUGUCAGCAGCCCCUAUGGAACAGGCUUUGCCUGAUAGAGGUAUUUGUUUUGUCCCCACCUAUCAGGACAAGGAGAAACCAGAUGCCACAGAAGAUAUAUUUUCUCUUAUGUUGUCAGUGAGAAUAAAUAAUAGUAUUCUACCUAUUUGGGGUUUUUACAAGAUGCAGAAAUGCAGUGCUGAUGUGAAGAAGAAGAAAAAAAAAGGCUUCUGUGAUGACAUUUUGUGAUUUCUUACUCAACUGUUACAGAUUAGGAGCUGCCAGUGGUGUAACUCUCAAACCAUAAUAUUUCCUACAGAGGUGCGCGAGAACUGACCUUGCCUCUGAAGGUCCGCAGACUUUUUAGACAUCAGCUAAUCUCUCACUUUGAGGACUCAAAAUAUUGUACGUCAGCAGUCAGGGCACCUUGUUUUGCCCUCAUGUCUGACGGCUUCAUAUUUACACCAAAACACUGCAGUCAAGCAAAGAGCUCGGGCGCGCGCACACACACACACACACACACACACACACACACACGACAGUCAAAGACCGAAAGAGAGGAAAAAGUCAAUCACAGUAGAUAACAAAACCGUCCAGCUACUUGCUCUUCCUUGGAUUUUGAGAACUCGACUCUUAACCAGGG
RNAcentral lists this long non-coding RNA (1784 nucleotides) under Scophthalmus maximus (turbot). RNAcentral describes it as "lncRNA (ENSSMAG00000027528.1)". Lineage: Eukaryota; Metazoa; Chordata; Actinopteri; Pleuronectiformes; Scophthalmidae. The record is from RNAcentral.